This is a non-coding RNA of Poecilia reticulata (guppy), 893 nucleotides long. The record is from the annotation of a RefSeq genome assembly. NCBI's taxonomy places the organism in Eukaryota, Metazoa, Chordata, Actinopteri, Cyprinodontiformes, Poeciliidae.
CCACUAGGAGACGUUUGCUGCAAAGAAAAGACGGAGCGAGUGGAGAUAUUCUGAGAAGCUCCAGAAGCUGCAGGCUGAGCUGUUCAGCUCUGCUGCAGACAUUAUUUGAACUUCACCAUGACGACGACAAUAAUAAUAGUUCUGACUAUCUUGUCUUCCUCCGUCUGCAUUGAAAUCAUUCAGCCGCCUUUCGCCAUYAGCCACGAAAACGAGCCGUCCGUCACCCUGACGUGCGAGCAGGACGACGACCAGCACUACUACAUGUACUGGUACAGACGGAGGAGCUCAGGCGGGCCGCAGCUGGUGGCGCUCUCUCUCGGUAAAGACACGUGGGACGUGGAACCUCCUUUCAACAAGUCCAGGUUCGCCAUGCGGCGACCCGCCAUCCUGAACUCCACUCUGCACAUCCAGCAGCCCGGGGCGGCGGACUCAGCCRUGUAUUACUGCGCGUCGAGAAGAGCACAGCGACUCAGAAAGCCUCCGCUGCUCAACAACAACCCGGAGAGAUCACAGGAGGAGGGGGGGAAGAAAGAUUGGUGGAAGGAAAAACUCCGGCGGAUGCUCAGGAUGUAGUAAAAACAAGAAACAAACUUUUAAUGUGAAAACUAAUGAAGACGUUGUGUUUUUUAGUUGUAGAGGUAAAAGAAUAUACAUUUAUGUUGGUAUUUUCUUUGCAUUCAGCUCUAAAACACCACAAAGCUGAUCUUUUCUGAUURGGCUGCAGGUGUUUGCAGGGUUAGCCACGCAGAAAUACUGACUUGUAUACUGUCCUCAGUUUCCCUUUAAAUGUUUCCCCUUUAAAUGCCGUUUCAUUUUUGGAUUUCCUGCCGAUUAUAUCAUGUUUAAGAUGUGAUCACACACUGACCUCUAGAGGGUUCACUGGAGAUUACAUU